RNAcentral lists this ribosomal RNA (1023 nucleotides) under Triticum aestivum (bread wheat). RNAcentral's name for it is "partial small subunit ribosomal RNA". Lineage: Eukaryota; Viridiplantae; Streptophyta; Magnoliopsida; Poales; Poaceae. The record is from RNAcentral.
AUGAAGAAUCUGAAGGAUCCAAAGACUAAGAUUUAUCCCUCUAUGACGAGGGGAGGUAAGGAACUGCCAGCCAGUUCUGCUUUAGAUUCACCCUCGGUUAUGAGUAAAUUUGCAACACCACCACAUGCUAUCAAUUCUAAUAUGUCUCAAGUUAUUGAUGAUGCUACUUCUACUAUGAAUGAUGCUUAUGAUGAUGCUAGUACCUUGCUUGAUAAUGAUGAUGUGCCACUUGGUGAAUUUCUUGAUAGACAAAUUGCUAGAGUUAUACAACAUGAUGUUGUUGAAUCUGAUGAUGAGCUUCAAACUAAAACUCCUGAAACACCUGCUAGAACUAGCCUUCCUAGAUAUGAAUUGCCUAAGGUACCGGAAGGUUAUGUUAUGAGUGAAGAAGCAACUAGAGAUAUUCUUGCUUGCAAUGAUAGAGAUGAUCUAGAGAAAUUACUACACAAGUAUAAAGAAAAAUCCCUGAAUGCUAGAAUGAAAUGUGAUCCUAAGUUUGCUACUUCACCUAUCUGUAUUGCUGAUAAGGAUUAUAAAUUCUCUAUCGACCCAGAGUUAAUUACUUUGGUUGAAUAUAAUCCUUUCCAUGGUUAUGAAACUAAAACUAUUGUGGCACAUCUUACUAUGUUGAAUGACAUAGCCACCCUUUUUACUCAUGAUGAGAAAACUCGUUAUUACUUUAUUCUCAAAUUAUUUCCUUUCUCACUAAAGGGAGAUGCUAAAGCUUGGUAUAAUACUCUUGCUCCUAGUUGUGUGCGUAGUCCCCAGGAUAUGGUUUAUUACUUCUCUGAAAAAUAUUUUCCUGCUCAUAUGAAACAAGCUGCCUUACACGAAAUAUUUAACUUUGUGCAAAAUAAAGAAGAGAGUCUCCCACAAGCUUGGGGGAGGCUUUGCCAGUUACUUAAUGCUUUGCCUGAUCAUCCUCUUAAGAAAAAUGAAAUACUUGAUAUCUUCUAUAAUGGACUAACUGAUGCUUCUAGGGACUUCCUAGAUAGUUGUGUUGGUUGUGUUUUCAGGGAAUGA